AAGUCGUAACAAGGUUUCCGUAGGUGAACCUGCGGAAGGAUCAUUAGUGAAUACUAGGACGUUCAAUUUAACUUGAAGUCCGAACUCCCACUAUCUAACCCUGUGCAUUUGUUUUGGUUAGUAGGGCGCUUUUAUUAGCGUCUGAACCCCUCUUCAUCUUACAAACACAAAGUCUAUGAAUGUAAUAAAAUUUAUAACAAAACAAAACUUUCAACAACGGAUCUCUUGGCUCUC
Molecule: unclassified non-coding RNA, 234 nt
Filed under: fungal sp.
Lineage: Eukaryota; Fungi
Description: partial internal transcribed spacer region
Rfam family: Eukaryotic small subunit ribosomal RNA (bases 1-46)
Source: RNAcentral